GCAUGAGUGAUGGUGGAAAGUUUUUUUGGUUGGGGAUGGNCUCGCGGCCUAUCAGUUUGUUGGUGAGGUAAUGGCUCACCAAGACGACGACGGGUAGCCGGCCUGAGAGGGCGACCGGCCACACUGGGACUGAGACACGGCCCAGACUCCUACGGGAGGCAGCAGUGGGGAAUAUUGCACAAUGGGGGAAACCCUGAUGCAGCGACGCAGCGUGCGGGAUGACGGCCUUCGGGUUGUAAACCGCUUUCAGCAGGGAAGAAGCCUUUCGGGGUGACGGUACCUGCAGAAGAAGUACCGGCUAACUACGUGCCAGCAGCCGCGGUAAUACGUAGGGUACAAGCGUUGUCCGGAAUUAUUGGGCGUAAAGAGCUCGUAGGUGGUUGGUCACGUCUGCUGUGGAAACGCAACGCUUAACGUUGCGCGUGCAGUGGGUACGGGCUGACUAGAGUGCAGUAGGGGAGUCUGGAAUUCCUGGUGUAGCGGUGAAAUGCGCAGAUAUCAGGAGGAACACCGGUGGCGAAGGCGGGACUCUGGGCUGUAACUGACACUGAGGAGCGAAAGCAUGGGGAGCGAACAGGAUUAGAUACCCUGGUAGUCCAUGCCGUAAACGUUGGGCACUAGGUGUGGGGGACAUUCCACGUUCUCCGCGCCGUAGCUAACGCAUUAAGUGCCCCGCCUGGGGAGUACGGUCGCAAGGCUAAAACUCAAAGGAAUUGACGGGGGCCCGCACAAGCGGCGGAGCAUGCGGAUUAAUUCGAUGCAACGCGAAGAACCUUACCAAGGCUUGACAUACACCAGACCGUUCUGGAAACAGUUCCUCCCCUUUGGGGUUGGUGUACAGGUGGUGCAUGGUUGUCGUCAGCUCGUGUCGUGAGAUGUUGGGUUAAGUCCCGCAACGAGCGCAACCCUCGUUCUAUGUUGCCAGCACGUGAUGGUGGGAACUCAUAGGAGACUGCCGGGGUCAACUCGGAGGAAGGUGGGGAUGACGUCAAAUCAUCAUGCCCUUUAUGUCUUGGGCUUCACGCAUGCUACAAUGGCUGGUACAGAGAGAUGCGGGACCGCGAGGUUUUAGCGAAUCCCUUAAGGCCAGUCUCAGUUCGGAUCGUAGUCUGCAAUUCGACUACGUGAAGUCGGAGUCGCUAGAAUCGCAGAUCAG
Molecule: ribosomal RNA, 1156 nt
Filed under: uncultured bacterium
Lineage: Bacteria
Description: bacterial SSU rRNA
Rfam family: Bacterial small subunit ribosomal RNA
Source: RNAcentral